RNAcentral lists this ribosomal RNA (254 nucleotides) under uncultured bacterium. RNAcentral describes it as "partial 16S ribosomal RNA". It matches the Rfam family "Bacterial small subunit ribosomal RNA", at positions 524 to 776 of the family's 1533-position model. The record is from RNAcentral.
UACGUAGGGUCCAAGCGUUAUCCGGAAUCACUGGGCGUAAAGCGUGCGUAGGUGGAUGUUUAAGUGUAUUGCGAAAUCCUGUGGCUCAACCAUAUGGACUGUAAUGCAUACUGGAUAUCUAGAGGACGGCAGAGGCAAGUGGAAUUUGUAGUGUAGCAGUGAAAUGCGUAGAUAUUACAAGGAACACCAAUGGCGAAGGCAGCUUGCUGGGCCGACCCUGACACUGAGGUACGAAAGCGUGGGGAGCAAACAGG